ACGGUAAAUCAGAAACGUUUUCAUUUCUGAACACUGCAUUUGGAGAUUCAAAACAGUACAAGAUGAAGUUGAUGCAAGUCGUCAUUUUGGUUUUGCUACUUUUUGUGCUUAACGCCAUUGCAGCACGAUUGCAAGGAGAACAUGGUUUUAUAAGCCCGGAACACAAUGCAUCGUCUCCUUGGAUUGAUUGGUGGAAAUGUUGUCCUGGAUGGUGAACUAAAGACGCAGCAUAAUCAUAUGUUUGAAAGCACGUCUAAGAGUCUUAAUUUCCAAAUAAAUUUC
Molecule: long non-coding RNA, 282 nt
Organism: Saccostrea cuccullata (small rock oyster)
Lineage: Eukaryota; Metazoa; Mollusca; Bivalvia; Ostreida; Ostreidae
Exons: 3
Source: RefSeq, a predicted model, not a curated record